UACGUAGGGCGCAAGCGUUGUCCGGAAUUAUUGGGCGUAAAGAGCUCGUAGGUGGCGUGUCGCGUCUGCCGUGAAAGCCCAUGGCUUAACUGUGGGUCUGCGGUGGAUACGGGCAGGCUGGAGGCUGGUAGGGGCAAGCGGAAUUCCUGGUGUAGCGGUGAAAUGCGCAGAUAUCAGGAGGAACACCGGUGGCGAAGGCGGCUUGCUGGGCCUGGCCUGACGCUGAGGCGCGAAAGCGUGGGGAGCAAUCCGG
This 253-nucleotide ribosomal RNA is filed under the name uncultured bacterium. RNAcentral describes it as "partial 16S ribosomal RNA". It matches the Rfam family "Bacterial small subunit ribosomal RNA", at positions 524 to 776 of the family's 1533-position model. The record is from RNAcentral.